AAAAUCCGUCGACUUUAUAAGUUGUGAGG
This 29-nucleotide transfer RNA is filed under the name Hordeum jubatum. RNAcentral describes it as "partial tRNA-Leu". RNAcentral also lists the same sequence under 11 other names. The record is from RNAcentral. Lineage: Eukaryota; Viridiplantae; Streptophyta; Magnoliopsida; Poales; Poaceae.